GCUCCAGUGGCGCAAUCGGUCAGCGCGCGGUACUUAUAAGACAGUACGAUGCUUUUAGCAAUGCCGAGGUUGUGAGUUCGAGCCUCACCUGGAGCA
RNAcentral lists this transfer RNA (96 nucleotides) under Danio rerio (zebrafish). It matches the Rfam family "tRNA". Rfam says of the family: Transfer RNA (tRNA) molecules are approximately 80 nucleotides in length. Their secondary structure includes four short double-helical elements and three loops (D, anti-codon, and T loops). Further hydrogen bonds mediate the characteristic L-shaped molecular structure. tRNAs have two regions of fundamental functional importance: the anti-codon, which is responsible for specific mRNA codon recognition, and the 3' end, to which the tRNAs corresponding amino acid is attached (by aminoacyl-tRNA synthetases). tRNAs cope with the degeneracy of the genetic code in two manners: having more than one tRNA (with a specific anti-codon) for a particular amino acid; and 'wobble' base-pairing, i.e. permitting non-standard base-pairing at the 3rd anti-codon position. The record is from Rfam by way of RNAcentral. Lineage: Eukaryota; Metazoa; Chordata; Actinopteri; Cypriniformes; Danionidae.